GAGGUAGCCAACACUAUUAUAUAUAUAUAUAUAUAUAUAUAUAUAUAUAUAUAUUUUUUAUUGGGGUAGCCCCCAAAAAUAUUGGGACAUAUAAAAAAAAGACAACUCUGUUCCGCAGAGUAGCUGUUGACAUUAUAGUUGCGCAGGAACUUUGCCAGUUUCUGCGUCUACCAUGGUGACCACGGGUAACGGGGAAUCAGGGUUCCAUUCCUUACAGGGACGCUGAGAAACGGCUACCACAUGCAAGGAAGGCAGCAGGCGCGCAAAUGACCCACUCCCGACGCGGGAAGGUAG
Molecule: non-coding RNA, 294 nt
Organism: Pelobates cultripes (western spadefoot toad)
Lineage: Eukaryota; Metazoa; Chordata; Amphibia; Anura; Pelobatidae
Source: the annotation of a GenBank genome assembly